RNAcentral lists this ribosomal RNA (463 nucleotides) under uncultured bacterium. Its description in RNAcentral is "partial 16S ribosomal RNA". It matches the Rfam family "Bacterial small subunit ribosomal RNA", at positions 28 to 507 of the family's 1533-position model. The record is from RNAcentral.
GACGAACGCUGGCGGCGUGCUUAACACAUGCAAGUCGAACGGUGAACCUCUUCGGAGGGGCUCAGUGGCGAACGGGUGAGUAACACGUGGGCAACCUGGCCCCGGCUCUGGGAUAACUCCAAGAAAUUGGGGCUAAUACCGGAUGUUAACCGCUUCUCGCAUGGGUGGUGGUGGAAGGGGUUUCUGGCUGGGGAUGGGCCCGCGGCCUAUCAGCUUGUGGGUGGGGUGUUGGCUUACCAGGGCGACGAGGGGUAGCCGGCCUGAGAGGGUGACCGGCCACACUGGGACGGAGACACGGCCCAGACUCAUCCGGGAGGCAGCAGUGGAGAAGAGUGCGUAAUGGGCUGAAGCAUGACGCAGCGACGCCGCGUGGGGGAUGACGGCCUGCGGUUUGUAAACCUCUGUCAGCAGAGACGAAGCGCAAGUGACGGUACCUGCAGAAGAAGCACCGGCCAACUACGUG